This 2227-nucleotide ribosomal RNA is filed under the name Vibrio vulnificus. RNAcentral's name for it is "partial 23S ribosomal RNA". It matches the Rfam family "Bacterial large subunit ribosomal RNA", at positions 716 to 2925 of the family's 2925-position model. The record is from RNAcentral. Lineage: Bacteria; Pseudomonadati; Pseudomonadota; Gammaproteobacteria; Vibrionales; Vibrionaceae.
CGAAACCGAGUGAUCUAGCCAUGGGCAGGUUGAAGGUUGAGUAACAUCAACUGGAGGACCGAACCGACUAAUGUUGAAAAAUUAGCGGAUGACUUGUGGCUAGGGGUGAAAGGCCAAUCAAACUCGGAGAUAGCUGGUUCUCCCCGAAAGCUAUUUAGGUAGCGCCUCGGACGAAUACUACUGGGGGUAGAGCACUGUUAAGGCUAGGGGGUCAUCCCGACUUACCAACCCUUUGCAAACUCCGAAUACCAGUAAGUACUAUCCGGGAGACACACGGCGGGUGCUAACGUCCGUCGUGGAGAGGGAAACAACCCAGACCGCCAGCUAAGGUCCCAAAUUACAGCUAAGUGGGAAACGAUGUGGGAAGGCUUAGACAGCUAGGAUGUUGGCUUAGAAGCAGCCAUCAUUUAAAGAAAGCGUAAUAGCUCACUAGUCGAGUCGGCCUGCGCGGAAGAUGUAACGGGGCUAAGUUGUAAACCGAAGCUGCGGCAAUGUUCUUUGAACAUUGGGUAGGGGAGCGUUCUGUAAGCCGUUGAAGGUGUGUUGUAAAGCAUGCUGGAGGUAUCAGAAGUGCGAAUGCUGACAUGAGUAACGACAAGGGGGGUGAAAAACCUCCCCGCCGGAAGACCAAGGGUUCCUGUCCAACGUUAAUCGGGGCAGGGUAAGUCGACCCCUAAGGCGAGGCCGAAAGGCGUAGUCGAUGGGAAACGGGUUAAUAUUCCCGUACUUCUUACAAUUGCGAUGGGGGGACGGAGAAGGCUAGGUGGGCCUGGCGACGGUUGUCCAGGUUCAAGUGCGUAGGCUGAGUGUUUAGGUAAAUCCGGACACUCUUAAGGCUGAGACACGACGUCGAGCUACUACGGUAGUGAAGUCAUUGAUGCCAUGCUUCCAGGAAAAGCCUCUAAGCUUCAGAUUGUAAGGAAUCGUACCCCAAACCGACACAGGUGGUCGGGUAGAGAAUACCAAGGCGCUUGAGAGAACUCGGGUGAAGGAACUAGGCAAAAUGGUACCGUAACUUCGGGAGAAGGUACGCUCUUGAUGGUGAAGUCCCUUGCGGAUGGAGCUGACGAGAGUCGCAGAUACCAGGUGGCUGCAACUGUUUAUUAAAAACACAGCACUGUGCAAAAUCGUAAGAUGACGUAUACGGUGUGACGCCUGCCCGGUGCCGGAAGGUUAAUUGAUGGGGUUAGCGUAAGCGAAGCUCUUGAUCGAAGCCCCGGUAAACGGCGGCCGUAACUAUAACGGUCCUAAGGUAGCGAAAUUCCUUGUCGGGUAAGUUCCGACCUGCACGAAUGGCGUAAUGAUGGCCACGCUGUCUCCACCCGAGACUCAGUGAAAUUGAAAUCGCUGUGAAGAUGCAGUGUACCCGCGGCUAGACGGAAAGACCCCGUGAACCUUUACUACAGCUUGGCACUGAACAUUGAACCUACAUGUGUAGGAUAGGUGGGAGGCUUUGAAGACGUGACGCCAGUUGCGUUGGAGCCGUCCUUGAAAUACCACCCUUGUAUGUUUGAUGUUCUAACGUUGGCCCCUAAUCGGGGUUGCGGACAGUGCCUGGUGGGUAGUUUGACUGGGGCGGUCUCCUCCCAAAGAGUAACGGAGGAGCACGAAGGUGGGCUAAUCACGGUUGGACAUCGUGAGGUUAGUGCAAUGGCAUAAGCCCGCUUAACUGCGAGAAUGACGGUUCGAGCAGGUGCGAAAGCAGGUCAUAGUGAUCCGGUGGUUCUGAAUGGAAGGGCCAUCGCUCAACGGAUAAAAGGUACUCCGGGGAUAACAGGCUGAUACCGCCCAAGAGUUCAUAUCGACGGCGGUGUUUGGCACCUCGAUGUCGGCUCAUCACAUCCUGGGGCUGAAGUCGGUCCCAAGGGUAUGGCUGUUCGCCAUUUAAAGUGGUACGCGAGCUGGGUUUAGAACGUCGUGAGACAGUUCGGUCCCUAUCUGCCGUGGGCGUUGGAAGAUUGAAGGGGGCUGCUCCUAGUACGAGAGGACCGGAGUGGACGAACCUCUGGUGUUCGGGUUGUGUCGCCAGACGCAUUGCCCGGUAGCUAAGUUCGGAAUCGAUAACCGCUGAAAGCAUCUAAGCGGGAAGCGAGCCCUGAGAUGAGUCUUCCCUGAUACUUUAAGUAUCCUGAAGGGUUGUUCGAGACUAGAACGUUGAUAGGCAGGGUGUGUAAGCGCUGUGAGGCGUUGAGCUAACCUGUACUAAUUGCCCGUGAGGCUUAACCAU